Long non-coding RNA from Microplitis mediator, 2350 nucleotides. RefSeq lists it as uncharacterized. The transcript has 5 exons. Lineage: Eukaryota; Metazoa; Arthropoda; Insecta; Hymenoptera; Braconidae. The record is from RefSeq and is a predicted model, not a curated record.
AUUAGUUUACGCAAGAGAAAGCGAGAUUAAAUCAUCAGUUAUUUUCUUUUUAAUAAUAUCAAGAAUCAGGUGCUACAGAAAUAACUUUGGCCAUCGCGGCGAAAUGUUCACUCCGUAUUGCAGAUGGUCACAAAUGUAAAUGAUUUUUUUUUUAUGUCAGUAAUUUAUUUAACUUUAUUGUCCAGUAUAACUUCUGAGGUUAUGUUUGACCGCGGUUAAGUUAUAUACGUAUUGUAACGAAAAAUAAAAUAAUAAAACUUCUGUUGUUUUAUAUUUUUAUAAUAAAAUACUUGGCCUCAUAACGCUAAAAUAGUUUUCAUCUUUAGUCAAUAACACCAAGCAAUUGUAGAAUGCAUAGUUAAUCACAAUUUCAAGAAAUGUCAAAAAAUUAUAUCACCUUUAAUUUUCUUACAUUCCUUAUAAUUACAUUUUCCAAAAAAUAUUUUUAUUGCAUUUAUGUGAUCGAAAAUAGUAGUACUCCAAAUCAUUCUACACAUAUUUAAUAUAAUGAUAUAUACAAAACAGAAAUGUUUGUAUCAAUUAAUGCUGUAUGCCAAGAAUGCUUUGAUCAGGUGCAUGAAAAAAAAUUAGCAACAAUGCAGGUACUAUUGCUUUACAACGAAUCAUUAUUUAAGAUGUUUGAAAAGAUGCGAAAAGGUCGACGGGUACACAAUGAAAAUUAACAUGUAGUUAAGAGACUAUCUGGAGUAUACAUUAAAUUUAUACUUUAGUAAAUGAAAACAAUAUCAGAGCAUUCAAUAAAUAUAUAUUCAAAAGCUUUUUUAUGAAACGGGUUAUUAUGAAAUCAUCUAUUAAAAUGACUAUGGAAAAAAAAAUAUCAAUUGAUCAAUAAAUAAACAUUGAGUAAAUCAAAAAUUUAUAUAUUACAAAUGAUCUUUAGAUUUGUAUACAGUUCAAUAUUUUAACAUCCCUUUUUCUAUUUAUGGAUAAUGACUACGGUUUAUGUGAUCUAGUUGAAUACACCAAAGUGCAAGUUUAAUACUACAAAAGUCAAGUGCUCUCAAGUUCUAAACACGACAGAAUGAGAGGUAAGUUUAAGUGGGAAUUUUUGCUAAUAAGACUGGCCAACUGUGUUAAUUCUUUUGAGACUUUCUUUGAGCCGUUAUGAUGACAAUCGUUAUAGCGGAUGGAGCUAAAUAUAUGAUAUAAUGUAGUAGCAAGAAAGUCCUAUACCUAGCCACGUAGUUAAGUAGCAAAGUUAUGUCGAAAAUAUAAGAGUGAAUUAUUCGAAAAUAAGUCCAAUUAGAGAAAAAUGAAGAGAGACCACCAUAGUAAAAAUAAAAAUGAGGCAAAGCUUAGCGCGAAUUGACCUUCAAAAGUCAAUGACUACUGAAAAACAUAAGGUUUACUCAACUUAUGGCUGAUAAGAUGCAUUAUUGUUCAAAUUACACAUUAUGCAAGUGAAAAUGGAGAAAAAAAUACGUCACGGAGAAAAAUAUACGUGGCAAAAAAUCUCUAUAGAGGACAGGAGCAUCACGACGAAAAACAAAUAUAUAGAAGCAUGUUAAACGGACAAAGAAAUAUGACUCCAAAACAUAAGACUCAUCAUCAUGAUUGACAGUACUGUUCCAAAAUCUUGAGAUUCGAAUUAACAUAGUAAUUAGUUAAUAGUAAUGAUUACCAGACCAUAUAAAAAACUACAGCUUAGUAUAUAUUAUAGUUUCUAGUUUUCAAAUUUGAAAGACAUAAAAACAUAUUUUAAUUUUAUUUAUUUUUAUAAUUACAGAUCAAUUAAAUUAAAAAAAAAAAAAAAAAACAUGAAUAUUCUGGGAAAAGCACUUCUAUCGAAUUUUAUUACCUUAAAUCUUGUGUCGGAAUCUACUAAAUAUAAGGCAGUGUUAGAUCUUAAUGAACCUAUUAAUCGUUUUUUAAGAUAUUUUAUGUUUUGAAAAUUUACAACACAAAAUUUAUUAUAGAUAAUAUAUAUUUUAAUUAUAUUCAAUACAAUUUAAAAAAGAGCCGAAGGAAGAUAGAAGUAGACGCUUUAGAUCUUUUUGUAUGAACCAAGUUAGGUAGUCAAGUGACUGGUAACUCGCUCGCCUUCAAAUUCUCAUAACUUCGAAAUAAUUCAAAUUUUGAUUUUUAAUUUUCACAGUAUAAUUUAAAAACAUAUAUAUUUCAACAAGUAAUAAUAAAAGUUUACUUUGACAUCAGAAGGUCUCCUUAAUUAAUAAUAAAAUUUAUACUCAAUCUAGUAUUCUAAUAUAUUAUUUGAAUGUAUCAUUUGUAUCUGUUUUUAUCGUUUUCUAAGUAUAUAUCGUAUCGAACAUUCUUCUCUACGAAUUUUCAAAGAAUAAUUUCUAUACUGUGUGUAGAAAUUGUUUUUAGA